RNAcentral lists this long non-coding RNA (281 nucleotides) under Mus musculus (house mouse). Its description in RNAcentral is "long non-coding RNA chr4:83121481-83121762". Lineage: Eukaryota; Metazoa; Chordata; Mammalia; Rodentia; Muridae. The record is from RNAcentral.
AUGUUUGAGUGCCUCUGCUGGUGAUGUGAAGGGAUCUUGGCAAGCUCAGAACUCCAGACAUGGAUGUAGUGACCUAUGAUGACAUGCAUGUGACCUUCACUCAGGAAGAGUGGGCUUUGCUGGAUACUUCACAGAAGAGUCUCUACAAAUGUGCGAUGAAAGAGACCUAUAGCAAGCUCACAGCUAUAGGGUACAUUUGGGAAGAACAUACUAUUGAAGACCUUUUUCAACGUUCUAGAAGUCAUGGAAGCAACAAGAAAAGCCACUGAUGCAUCACUUGC